RNAcentral lists this transfer RNA (73 nucleotides) under Cordylochernes scorpioides. RNAcentral describes it as "tRNA-Thr". The record is from RNAcentral. Lineage: Eukaryota; Metazoa; Arthropoda; Arachnida; Pseudoscorpiones; Chernetidae.
GUCCAGGGAUGGGAAUAGAACCCACAGUGUUCCGCUUACUGGGCAGAUGUCAUGUCCACUAGGCUACCCUGGA